GUGCAUUAGUACAUGCUAACGAUAUUCAAAAAGUACAUACCUCAAAGAAAACGAUGACGCGAGUUAUCGUCUCUAACGUUCGAGGACUACAAAAAACACUCGGAUUGUAGGCAACAGUUUACUUCCUGGGAUUAGUGACGUAGAUAAGACCAACAUUAUCAUAGUUCAGCCCUCUCUGCUUUGCUUGGGUACGCCCUCAAAGACGAGGGUGGGGUGGGGAGCGCCGAGUCAGAAGAGAGCUAAAAUGGCGGAGGUUGGGAGUCCCUGCUUUGACUCUGUUUGCAAACUCUUGUUUCAUUGUUUAAGCGAUUAAAUCUCUCGAGUAGACGCUGUCUCUUUAGAUGCGAGGGCAAAAUAGCACUUUAUGGACUUACACAGAGGACAUCAUGUUUAAUACGGUUCCGGAAAAAUCCAGUCAGAAGUUGUUCACGGAGUUUUCACAAUAACUGCUUCUCAUGAACCGAAGCUGGAUUUGCGCAACGUCUCCUCUUGAAAGUUGGAUUACUGUGCACUUCUGGAUCACAGACUAUUCGCAGCUGUACACAUCCUUCUACACUGUAUGCAAACAUGCAACAUCAUUACACACAGUACAAGGAGUCAGACUGGCAUAUGAGGAGCAAAGGAACCCAGGCAGUAGCAUCGUUUCACAAUGUUUCCAUCACCAUCAUCAGUGGAUGCCUUUGCCGUCCGUAGCCUGAGAUUUCAGAUUUGCAGCAAAAAAAAAUGAUUUUCUCAUUUAUUGGAAUGCUGUGCAGGUAUUUGUACCUUGCAGCCAUCCAUUACAAUGUCACCAAGCCGUAACAAAAGCAGGAGAGGGAAAGUACAAGGCUAUGUUCCCAAAACACAAAUGACAUACCUUAUGUGGAGGAUGUGAUCAGGCUUGUGUUUGAUGAGGUAUUUGAAGACAAGCUGAAGGAAGCCCUGAUUCCAAUGGACCUGGCAUCACAGUUUGAGAGACCUUCAAAGGAGGACGUGAUUGCAUUCCAUCUUCAGUGCAGGGGUCGUCGAAAGCCAAAAUUGUGACCGAUCUGAUCAGGAAGCUCCAAGCGUAUCUGGAGAACAACACACGACAGGAUGAUAACCUUAUAGUGUCGUCUUAGAUAGCACCAGCUGACAAAGCUUUGAUAUGCCAUUUAUCUGAAUAGAUAGCUGUAAGAAAUGAAUUGAACACUUUUUGAAACAAGAGCACA
Molecule: long non-coding RNA, 1190 nt
Organism: Paramisgurnus dabryanus
Lineage: Eukaryota; Metazoa; Chordata; Actinopteri; Cypriniformes; Cobitidae
Source: RefSeq, a predicted model, not a curated record